This 248-nucleotide ribosomal RNA is filed under the name uncultured Lachnospiraceae bacterium. RNAcentral's name for it is "partial 16S ribosomal RNA". It matches the Rfam family "Bacterial small subunit ribosomal RNA", at positions 524 to 771 of the family's 1533-position model. The record is from RNAcentral. Lineage: Bacteria; Bacillati; Bacillota; Clostridia; Lachnospirales; Lachnospiraceae.
UACGUAGGGGGCAAGCGUUAUCCGGAUUUACUGGGUGUAAAGGGAGCGUAGACGGCUGAACAAGUCUGGAGUGAAAUCCCGGGGCUCAACCCCGGAGCUGCUCUGGAAACUGUAUAGCUAGAGUACUGGAGAGGCAGGCGGAAUUCCUAGUGUAGCGGUGAAAUGCGUAGAUAUUAGGAGGAACACCAGUGGCGAAGGCGGCCUGCUGGACAGCGACUGACGUUGAGGCUCGAAAGCGUGGGGAGCAA